This 850-nucleotide ribosomal RNA is filed under the name uncultured bacterium. Its description in RNAcentral is "bacterial SSU rRNA". It matches the Rfam family "Bacterial small subunit ribosomal RNA", at positions 652 to 1502 of the family's 1533-position model. The record is from RNAcentral.
GAGAGGUAACCGGAAUUCCUAGUGUAGCGGUGAAAUGCGUAGAUAUUAGGAAGAACACCAGUGGCGAAGGCGGGUUACUGGACGACAACUGACGGUGAGGCGCGAAAGCGUGGGGAGCAAACAGGAUUAGAUACCCUGGUAGUCCACGCUGUAAACGAUCAAUACUAGGUGUGCGGGGACUGACCCCCUGCGUGCCGCAGUUAACACAAUAAGUAUUGCACCUGGGGAGUACGAUCGCAAGGUUGAAACUCAAAGGAAUUGACGGGGGCCCGCACAAGCGGUGGAUUAUGUGGUUUAAUUCGAAGCAACGCGAAGAACCUUACCAAGGCUUGACAUCCCGAUGACCGCUCUAGAGAUAGAGCUUCUCUUCGGAGCAUCGGUGACAGGUGGUGCAUGGUUGUCGUCAGCUCGUGUCGUGAGAUGUUGGGUUAAGUCCCGCAACGAGCGCAACCCUUAUCUUCAGUAGCCAUCAUUCAGUUGGGCACUCUGGAGAGACUGCCGUGGAUAACACGGAGGAAGGUGGGGAUGACGUCAAAUCAUCAUGCCCCUUAUGUCUUGGGCUACACACGUGCUACAAUGGCUGGUAACAAAGUGACGCGAAACGGCGACGUUAAGCAAAUCACAAAAACCCAGUCCCAGUUCGGAUUGUAGUCUGCAACUCGACUACAUGAAGCUGGAAUCGCUAGUAAUCGCGAAUCAGCAUGUCGCGGUGAAUACGUUCCCGGGCCUUGUACACACCGCCCGUCACACCAUGGGAGUUGGAAGCACCCGAAGUCGGUGACCUAACCGUAAGGAAGGAGCCGCCGAAGGUGAAGCCAGUGACUGGGGUGAAGUCGUAACAAGGUAACCA